This 253-nucleotide ribosomal RNA is filed under the name uncultured bacterium. RNAcentral's name for it is "partial 16S ribosomal RNA". It matches the Rfam family "Bacterial small subunit ribosomal RNA", at positions 524 to 776 of the family's 1533-position model. The record is from RNAcentral.
GACGAACCGUACGAACGUUAUUCGGAAUCACUGGGCUUAAAGGGUGCGUAGGCGGUCCGGUAAGUUGGGUGUGAAAUCCCUCGGCUCAACCGAGGAAUGGCGCUCAAAACUGUCGGGCUAGAGGGAGACAGAGGUGAGCGGAACUUAGGGUGGAGCGGUGAAAUGCGUUGAUAUCCUAAGGAACACCAGUGGCGAAAGCGGCUCACUGGGUCUCUUCUGACGCUGAGGCACGAAAGCUAGGGGAGCGAACGGG